UCAUUGAUGCAAAAAGGCAUCUUUUCCGCCUCCUAAGCGGUAGGUCGCGCGUUCGAUUCGCGCUCGGGGCACCA
This 74-nucleotide transfer RNA is filed under the name Acidithiobacillus thiooxidans. RNAcentral's name for it is "tRNA-Arg". The record is from RNAcentral. Lineage: Bacteria; Pseudomonadati; Pseudomonadota; Acidithiobacillia; Acidithiobacillales; Acidithiobacillaceae.